This 239-nucleotide ribosomal RNA is filed under the name uncultured bacterium. RNAcentral's name for it is "partial 16S ribosomal RNA". It matches the Rfam family "Bacterial small subunit ribosomal RNA", at positions 524 to 762 of the family's 1533-position model. The record is from RNAcentral.
GACGGAGGGGGCUAGCGUUGUUCGGAAUUACUGGGCGUAAAGAGCACGUAGGUGGUUUGGUAAGUCGGAUGUGAAAGCCCCGGGCUUAACCUGGGAAUUGCAUUCGAAACUGCCUCACUAGAGUCUAGCAGAGGGAUGCGGAAUUCCGGGUGUAGCGGUGAAAUGCGUAGAGAUCCGGAGGAACAUCAGUGGCGAAGGCGGCAUCCUGGGCUAAGACUGACACUGAAGUGCGAAAGGCU